GCAUGAGUGAUGAUUUCCAUUCUUUUGUCGGAUACCCCUUCACUCAACGAUGAGUGAGAUCCUCGCUCUGACGUGC
Amphilophus citrinellus (Midas cichlid) is the source of this 76-nucleotide small nucleolar RNA. The record is from Ensembl. Lineage: Eukaryota; Metazoa; Chordata; Actinopteri; Cichliformes; Cichlidae.